CGAAUCUGUCAGCUUUCUUCUGUAUGCUAUAGGAUUGUUUUUUGGUUUCGUCUCUGAGAAUCAAUUUGUUAGUUUUCAGGGUCUUGUUGGAUUUAUAUGCUCUUGUUGAGAAGUGUUGCCGAUAAUUGAAUAAUCUAUUCGCUUAUAUUGACUGGACAAUUGUGGUUUGAUCAAUGCUUUACAUAACUGUGUCGUAUCUGGCUAGGUAUUCAGAAUGGAAUUAGGAAGGAUAUCUUUUGCUAAAGAGCUUUACCCUACAAGUGUGGUUGUGGAUUCGAGCUGCUAAUUGGUUUCUGACAGUGAUGUUGUUCAAUCAUAUUAUAACAUUUAGCUUUCAGAGUUUACCUAUGUAAAGUAGCUAUUCUUAAAAUAGAUGCUCGGUGUGGGAAGUUGUGAAGACCUAUGGACUGUGUUGGUUUUUUGUGAAAAGAAAAAACAGAUAAGGUGAUAUAUAUAUAUAUAUAUAUAUAUAUAUAUAUUAUGCUUAUACAUACUCAAAUUCUGUUAGUAAGCUCAUGAAAAAAGUUCUGAUAGAUGUACUUUACAUAAUGACUGGUUGAUCAUCUUAUUUGUUCUUUUCUGACCGAUUCUCUUUCUGGUAUUUUUGUUUCCACAUGAUGUCUUGGUUGUUAUUUAUUGUCUUUGGGUUCAUCUCUUGGUAGUGGGAGACUUUAUGAUAAAUUGCUUGUCCAAUUUGAGACCUCUUCUCUGCUUUUCCUUCCUUUAAAGAUGUUUUCUUUUUGGUAUAUGUAAUUAGAGGUUAAUUUGUGCAUUGGAUUGGUUAUUUGGCUUGUAAUUUACAUGCAUUCUGGGGUCUCCUCAGAUAGAUACAGGAUGCAUUAUCCAUUCCUUUCUUGGUUCCAUUGCCUUGUUUGCUGUUUUACCGUUUGGCAUAUUUAUUGUUCCAUCCUCAUCAAUCUAAAUUUAUGCAAAUUUUUUUUUAUGUCCAGGCUCUGAUAAUAGGAUUUCAUGUUAAUUUAAUUGGGAGUGGUCUAAUAAAAAGAAGGGCCUUGGAAUGGUACUUAAACUUACUGAGUGAGAUUUUAAUAAUCUAUGUCAUUGAGACAUUAAUAUUUCUCAUAUGAUAAAUGUUGAUACAAGAAAGCAGUUCUCUAUCUGGGAUGUAAGACAUAAGAAUGGAAUUUCCCUUGCACAGUAUUUUUAUCAAAUAGCUUAUUCUAUUGGAAGAAUGUUUCAGAGAAAGUAGUGAUAAUCUGUGAUAGCAAACAUAUGUACCCUAUUGAGACUAAAUUAAGGUGGCUAGGGAUGGGAGUUCAGCGUGAUUACUUUAUAUUGAAUGCUUCUCUUACAUCCUCUUAGUUUUCUAGUAUGAUUCAUUAUCGCAACAAACUUUAGUUUUUUGCCUCUGACUAUUUCUAUAACAUUUGUUCAUGGGAUGUUAACGUCUGUAAAGUUGAGAGAUUCACGUAGAGCUCUAUCAAUUUGUAGUAUGGAAGAAUACGAGUUUUUCUUUGAAUCCAUUCAUCUUUUCAUCAUCUCCCUCCCAGAUUCUGUGUGCAUGUGUCUUCGGUUAAGAUUGCUAUCAUAUUAUGUUUUUCGUAAAUUCUAUGAUUACUUAAAAGACUGCUGAAUUGCUAAUGCAUCUAAGCAAAGAGCGUUUACUAGCCUUCAGUAGAUUCUAUUGCUAGGUUUGUCAUAUUCCACAUUGCAGAAAUGGUCAGUCUGUUGUAUAUUGAUAGGUAUCGAAGUAGAAAGA
Rosa rugosa (rugosa rose) is the source of this 1717-nucleotide long non-coding RNA. RefSeq lists it as uncharacterized. Lineage: Eukaryota; Viridiplantae; Streptophyta; Magnoliopsida; Rosales; Rosaceae. The transcript is spliced from 2 exons. The record is from RefSeq and is a predicted model, not a curated record.